Long non-coding RNA from Sapajus apella (tufted capuchin), 2809 nucleotides. RefSeq lists it as uncharacterized. The record is from RefSeq and is a predicted model, not a curated record. Lineage: Eukaryota; Metazoa; Chordata; Mammalia; Primates; Cebidae. The transcript is spliced from 3 exons.
UUAACUCAGAGACAGAACUCCCUAAACGAAUAUUUACAUGUUUUGCUAAUUUAGUGAAUCAGCUAGUUGAGGUUGAAAGUUAGAUAAUUUCAUUGGAGAUUGGGCCAGAAUUGAAACUUGAAAGCCCAAAUCUUUGUUGGAGAAAUUCAUGAUGUUGUAUAACAUUGUUUUGAGAACCAAUUUUUUCUUAACUGUUGUUUUUCUUUGCUCAUACAUGUUUAAAAUACUGUUUGACAUUUAAUGCAUUAUUCAUUGAUUAAUAGUUUUGAAUUUGGGACUUAGAAAACCUGAAUUGUAGUUCCUAGGGCAGUGUUUUUGAAAAAAGAAAUACUGAUAGUAGAUUACCUCGAAGUUGUUGAAAUGUAAUUCUGACACUACUGGGAGUUAACAUAGACUUUAUAGGUUAAGAUCAUAGUCCCCCACGAGACUAUCCUCACUUAAGACAUGAGCCACAAAUUUGGGGGUCCCGACGCUACCUGUGCUCCUGACCACUGGCUGCACAUCUAGGAGUUUGCAUGAUCCAUUUAGGUUCAAUAAUUCACUAGAAUGACUCACAGUGCCCAGGAAAGUGCUAUACACUACUUAAAAUUACGGUUGUAUUAUCCUGAAUACUCCCCGCUAAUAUUUUUUAAACACUGUAUUUUGAAAUGAUUGUAGAUACAUGGAAGGUUGUAAAAAUAGCAGAGUCCCUUGAAUCCUUUCCCUAGCUCCCCCCAGUGGUGGCAUCUUACGUAACUGUAGUAUAAUAUUGAAAUCAGGAAAUUGACAUUUGUAUAGUAUUACUAAAGUUUCUUGUAAUUUGGCCAUUUUGGAAUCUGAAGAACCAGUGUUUUCUUUAAUUCUCAUUAUUUCUUUAGAAAUGUUUAUCGUUUUCUAAAUCUCUAAUUUCUGAUACUGCAGCUUCUAUUUAAAACAGGGCCUUAUAUUUUCCAUUCAUUUACCUUUUAAAAAAUGAAUUAUAAUAUCUACUGUUUUUAUGACUUAAGAAAAAUCAUUGAAACAUCACUGAGAACUGUUGCUUACCAUCAAAAUGGGCAAUUUCCCUAGGUGACCAUAUCCAUACUCAGGCUUUAGAAUAGUCACUGAAAUCAUGUGGGGGUUUUUUGUUGUUGUUGUUUUUAGGCCAAGGAAGCUAUCCAAGAAUUUUGUGAAUAAGGCUGAGAAUUGACCUUGGCAGAAUUCAUGAGGAAGAUGUGUUUCUUGUUUUGUGUGGUCAAAGAGGGUUUUUCAUCCAAACAUUGCCCUCAUUUCUUCUUUUUCCACUGAUGUUUUUUUCAUUUAUUUUUUUAAGUGUCUAGAGACUUUAACUUCUUUAAGUGUUAUUUUUGGUAGAGCUUUAUUUUCAGUGAUUUAUCUUGGGAGAAGCUGAGUGAGAGGUUCAGAUUUCAAGACAAACCAAGGAUGAUUUGUCUUUGCUUUGGGACUUAACAAUGAGAUAUUAAGAAAAACUUUAAAAAACUAAUAUUAUAGUUUUGUUAUGAAAGCUACAAUCAGACAUUCUUAGAUUGCUUUAUUUUAUUCAAUGGAAUUUGAGUUUUUGAUGGUUUUGUUAGCAUUUUGGGGUUCAGGGGAGCCCUUAGCUCCCCUGAGAGGACGUUUCUCCAAGGUUCUUGGUUUCCCACCGCUCUCUCAAGAAUGAGAGAGGGGACCACGGCAGGUGCGCUUGUAAAGUAAAUAUUAGACUCAGAAAGCUUUUGCAGAAAAGUGAUUUAUUUAGGUGGAGAAAGAGAAAAGAGAGUAAGAAAUAGCCAACUCUCACACUGAAUGAGAGAAAGAAAACCCGCUCUCCCACUGAGUGAGAAGGGUUCCCAGAGGGGGAAAACCAGAGAAGGAAAACUCCUCUCACACUGAGUGAGAGAAUCCAGAAAGAUGGAAUCCAGGAGAGGAAAGCAGCUUCCACACUGAGUGGAAGGGAAUUGUGAGAGGGAUGGAGUUUGGGAGGGAAAGACAGGCUACCACGAGAGUGUGUGGAAAGGGACUCCAGAGGGAGUAUCUGCCGGGUGUGGGGACAAGGACUUUUAAGCUGGGAGGAAUUCCCUCCUUCUCCAAGCCCCCUGGCCAAUGAAAAGAGUUCCCUUAAACCCCUUUAAACUUCCUCUGGAUUGAUUGACUUUUGACCCUUUCCUGCACCCGAGAAAAUUAAAACCGAGACCUUUAAAUCUCCCAGAUGGAGAGAGAUGGGAGGAGGGCAUGGCACUUGGAAAGUUCUUGCCCUUAAAACUACGCCCCCUUGUGGACCCAGAAAGAGAGCACAUUCCCUCAGUUUCUUCAUGUAAAUAGGAAGCCACCAGAAGAAGGCCUGUCAUAAGUAAACUUCAUUAUCCUAGUUAAAGGGAUCUUGCUAAAGAAAAGUAUAGUGAAUGGUGAUGGGAGUUUGACCUAGUGGUAAAUGUUUUGUGAUUGCUGGCCACUGAACUUUGACUUAGGCAAUCUAGUUAAUUUCUGACACUCAAGCAUGGUUCAUGCAUUUGUUCGUUCAUACAACACAUUUUUAUUGAGCCACGUAGGCAGUGGGAUAUUAUAUGGAGCAAAAACUGCUGUGAUACCCUUCCCCAUGGAACUGAGGGUCUGACAGAGAGGACAGAAAUGUUAAGUGUUUAAAUUGCACCUGUGACAGCAGUAUAAGAGUAGAUAUUAGGGAAUACUUAUAUUAGCGAGAUUUGACCAGUUUAGAGAAGGCAUCCUCAAGAAAUGAUACUUGUGCUAUGUUCUGAAGGAGGAGUAGAUGUUAACUUGGCAAAGAAAGGAGAGAUGGGAGACGGUUGUCCAGACAGAAGAAGCAGCAAGUGCAGAGGCCCUAUGGUGGAAG